AUGUCUUACUUGGGAUCCCCUCCCACCAACCAAAUCUCUGACCACCUCCCUCAUUCUGCGCACCGCCCAAAAUCGCUGCAGCCUCGAUCGAGAGCCUCCUCCUCCCUCUUCGAUCCAGAGGAGUGGACCUCCUCUGUGCCCUCACCUGCGCCCCUUCCUCCUUCCCCGUGCACUUUCCCCUCUCUCUUCAUCGCUCCCUUGUCUCUGUUCGUCAACAGGAGACCCAUGGGCGCCCGAACCACUCGAAGCUCCAAGCCCCGCCGCUGCUGCUUCCGUUUCGCCUGUCUCGCGCCCACUCCCCUCGCGGCUCCGUCGGAAGCUGCUCCAUCGCCGCGCCAAGUCCCUCUGCAUGAGCCGCGCCUGUCCAUUGCUGCUCCUCUUCGUCGCCCCGCCAAGUCCGGACGCCAUGGCCGCUGGAGUUCCUCCACGCCGGCCUGCUACCUCACUCCCCUGCCGUCUCCGGCACCGCGCCGGCGAGCGCCACUGCCGGAGCACCAGUAG
Molecule: ribosomal RNA, 501 nt
Filed under: Triticum aestivum (bread wheat)
Lineage: Eukaryota; Viridiplantae; Streptophyta; Magnoliopsida; Poales; Poaceae
Description: partial small subunit ribosomal RNA
Source: RNAcentral